CUCGAGGCCAGAUCUUUCCGGUUGAUCCUGCCGGACCCGACCGCUAUCGGGGUGGGACUAAGCCAUGGGAGUCGUGCGCCCCCGGACGCGGGGGCGCGGCGGACGGCUGAGUAACACGUGGCCAACCUACCCUCGGGACGGGGAUAACCCCGGGAAACUGGGGCUAAUCCCCGAUAGGCGAGGGGGCCUGGAACGGUCCCUCGCCGAAAGGGUGUGCGGAGCUUCCCCGCACACCGCCCGAGGAUGGGGCUGCGGCCCAUCAGGUAGUUGGCGGGGUAACGGCCCGCCAAGCCGAUAACGGGUAGGGGCCGUGGGAGCGGGAGCCCCCAGAUGGGCACUGAGACAAGGGCCCAGGCCCUACGGGGCGCACCAGGCGCGAAACCUCCGCAAUGCGGGCAACCGUGACGGGGUCACCCCGAGUGCCGCCGAUAAGGCGGCUGUUCCCCGCUGUAGGAAGGCGGGGGAGUAAGCGGGGGGCAAGUCUGGUGUCAGCCGCCGCGGUAAUACCAGCCCCGCGAGCGGUCGGGACUCUUACUGGGCCUAAAGCGCCCGUAGCCGGCCCGGCAAGUCCCCCCCUAAA
Molecule: ribosomal RNA, 580 nt
Filed under: uncultured archaeon
Lineage: Archaea
Description: bacterial SSU rRNA
Rfam family: Archaeal small subunit ribosomal RNA
Source: RNAcentral